AGUGAACGCUGGCGGUAUGCCUAACACAUGCAAGUCGAACGGCAGCACAGUAAGAGCGUGCUCUUACGGGUUGCCAGUGGCGGACGGGUGAGGAAUACAUCGGAAUCUACUUUUUCGUGGGGGUUCACGUAGGGAAACUUACGCUAAUACCGCAUACGCCCUACGGGUGAAAGCAUGGGAUCUUCGGACCUUGCGCGAUUGAAUGAGCCGAUGUGGUGUUAGCUGGUUGGCGGGGUAAAGGCCCAGCAAGGCGACGAUCCGUAGCUGGUCUGAGUGGAUGGUCAGCCACACUGGAGCUGGGACACGGUCAAGAGUCCUACGGGAGGCAGCAGUGGGGAACAUUGGGCAAUGGGCGGAAACCUGGUCCAGCCAUCCCGCGUGGGUGAAGACAGCCUUCCGGUUGUAAAGCCCUUUUGUUGGGAAAGAACAGCAUCAGCUUAAUACGACGCUGUUCUGACGGUACCCAAUAAAUAAGCACCGGCUAACUUCGUG
This 492-nucleotide ribosomal RNA is filed under the name uncultured bacterium. RNAcentral describes it as "partial 16S ribosomal RNA". It matches the Rfam family "Bacterial small subunit ribosomal RNA", at positions 29 to 507 of the family's 1533-position model. The record is from RNAcentral.